CCCAACUCAAUCCUUACCCUCAGGGCUAACCCCCCCCCACCCCAGCUCGGCUUGGCCUGGCCCGGCCCGGUUCGGCCCAACUUAGCCCAGUUCCACCCCAGGGUUAACCCUGGCCCGUUUCAGCCCGGUUCGGCCCAACUCGGCCCAACUCGGCCCAGCUCCACCCCAGGGUUAACCCUGGCCCGGUUUGGUCCAAAUCAGACUCCACCCCCAGGCUUAAACCCCCCCGGUCCGACUCGGCCUGGUUUGGCUCGGCCCGGUUCGGCCCAGCUCGGCCCAGCCCCACCCCAGGGUUAACCCUGGCCCGGUUCAGCCCGGUUCGGUCCAAAUCAGACUCCACCCCCAGGCCCAACUCGGCCCGGUUCAGCCCAACUCGGCCCAGCUCCACCCUGGGCUUAACCCUGGCCCGGUUCAGCCUGGUUCAGCCCAACUCGACCCAGUUCCACCCCAGGGUUAACCCUGGCCCGGUUCGGCCUGGUUCAGUCCAAAUCAGACUCCAUCCCCAGGGUUAAACCCCCCUGGUCCAACUUGGUCCAGUUCGGCUCGGCCCGGUUCAGCCCAACGCAAUCCUUACCCCAAGGGCUAACCCCCCCCCAGUUUGGCUCGGCCCGGUUCGGCCCAACUCGGCCCAGCUCCACCCCAGGGUUAACCCUGGCCCGGUUCGGCCCGGUUCGGUCCAAAUCAGACUCCAUCCCCAGGAUUAAACCCCCCCAGUCCAACUCGGCCUGGUUCAGCUCGGCCCGGUUCGGCCCAGCUCGGCCCAGCCCCACCCUGGGGUUAACCCUGGCCCGGUUCAGCCCGGUUCGGUCCAAAUCAGACUCCACCCCCAGGCCCAACUCGGCCCGGUUCAGCCCAACUCAGCCCAGCUCCACCCUGGGGUUAACCCUGGCCUGGUUCGGCCCAGUUCGGCCCAACUUGGCCCAGCUCCACCCCAGGGUUAACCCUGGCCCGGUUCGGUCCAAAUCAGAUUCCACCCCCAGGCUUAAACCCCCCCGGUCCAACUUGGCCCGGUUCGGCUUGGCCCGGUUCGGCCCAACUCGGCCCAGCUCCACCCCAGGGUUAACCCUGGCCCAGUUCGGCCCGGUUCGGUCCAAAUCAGACUCCACCCCCAGGCUUAAACCCCCCUGGUCCAACUCGGCCUGGUUCGGUUCGGCCUGGUUCAGCCCAACUCGGCCCAGCUCCACCCCAGGUUUAACCCUGGCCCGGUUCAGCCCAGUUUGGCCCAACUUGGCCCAGCUCCACCCCAGGGUUAACCCUGGCCCGGUUCGGCCCGGUUCGGUCCAAAUCAGACUCCACCCCCAGGCCCAACUCGGCCCGGUUCAGCCCAACUCGGCCCAGCUCCACCCCAGGGUUAACCCUGGCCCGGUUCUGUCCAAAUCAGACUUCAUCCCCAGGGUUAAACCCCCCCUGGUCCAACUUGGCCUGGUUUGGCUCGGCCUGGUUCAGCCCAACUCGGCCCAGCUCCACCCCAGGGUUAACCCUGGCCCGGUUCGGCCCGGUUUGGUCCAAAUCAGACUCCACCCCCAGGGUUAAACCCCCCUGGUCCAACUCGGCCUGGUUCGGCUCGGCCUGGUUCAGCCCAA
RNAcentral lists this long non-coding RNA (1583 nucleotides) under Numida meleagris (helmeted guineafowl). RNAcentral describes it as "lncRNA (ENSNMEG00000004135.1)". The record is from RNAcentral. Lineage: Eukaryota; Metazoa; Chordata; Aves; Galliformes; Numididae.